UCUAAUAGGCACGUGGCACACAGCCGUCGAGCUGUUACACGACUAGUUUGGCUAUAAGGGUCAACCUUUGGUCAACGUGACUAUUCGCCUUUAGAAACUUAUGUCUUCCGAAGAAAUUGGAUAUCGUUCCAGUGAUAAUUGAUGGCUUAAAAAGUAGAAUAUUCCCCUUAAUUCUCACCGCUCUAUUAACUGUGCUGCGGUUAUAAAUAUCGGAGGGACUUAUCCC
This 226-nucleotide long non-coding RNA is filed under the name Setaria italica (foxtail millet). RNAcentral's name for it is "long non-coding RNA (SITA_LNC004444)". Lineage: Eukaryota; Viridiplantae; Streptophyta; Magnoliopsida; Poales; Poaceae. The record is from RNAcentral.